AUAAAUAUUUGGCGUUGGGUUUAAAUUUUCUAAGGACCAUUAUGUGGUCCCCUUUCAUAGCAGUUAUAAUAUGAUUAACAAAUGUAAACCCUACAGAGUGCGAGGGAGACAGAGAGAGAAAAGAGUCAUUGUCAAUAGCUGUAAGAGGACCAAAACCUACCAUUAAAUACUCUCUCUUUGGCACAGUGAAAGAAAAGAGACAUUGAACUGCGGCACAGGCAUUCAUUCAUAUGGAUCAGUGGAGAUAAGAGGAUCACGAGACCCUUCUUUUAAUUACUCCAACCAUGCAUGGCCUCUUCCCUUUUUGCUAAUUUCUAUGUAUCAACAUAUCAAGAUAUCACAGGAUUUUCCAUCCUUCAAUGGAGUUUCUUCUCUUUUCACAAGUAUGUUGGUUUGAGAGGUUAAAGCUGCCAGCAUGAUCUGGUAAUCACCACACUCUUUUCCCUCAUCUCAUGCCUCAUUUGAAAAUCCAUAUCUACUCAUUUUUUGGUUCAAAUUCAAGGUUUCUUUCUGGUGUCAAUCACUUCUGAAAAAAAAAAAAGAAAAGGUUUUAACUUUACCUGGCUUGUUCUUCUGCUUGAUUUUCUUCAUAUUCUACAAAAGGGUCUUGUUAUAAACUGGAAUUGAUCCUUAAAGGAAACCUACCAAAAAGGAAAUUUUUUUGUUGUUAUGAGAUGUGGUUCCAUCAGGUCAUCUUGCAGCUUCAAUCACUCAAUAACCAACAGAGUAGUUUCUUCUGCUACUUUUUCAACCACAGUCUCCAUUUCAGACAUUGCCUCGUGAGAUGUGCUGCUUACUCCAAAUUAUUGUAAUGAAAAAUUAUUGAAUGAAUGAAACACUGCAACCAGCGAAAAGUCUGUUUAUACUAAUUUAGGAUCAUUUUAUUUUUUUA
Molecule: long non-coding RNA, 892 nt
Organism: Vigna unguiculata (cowpea)
Lineage: Eukaryota; Viridiplantae; Streptophyta; Magnoliopsida; Fabales; Fabaceae
Source: RefSeq, a predicted model, not a curated record